Molecule: ribosomal RNA, 253 nt
Filed under: uncultured bacterium
Lineage: Bacteria
Description: partial 16S ribosomal RNA
Rfam family: Bacterial small subunit ribosomal RNA
Source: RNAcentral
UACGGAGGGUGCAAGCGUUAUCCGGAUUUAUUGGGUUUAAAGGGUGCGUAGGCGGCCUGUUAAGUCAGGGGUGAAAGACGGUAGCUCAACUAUCGCAGUGCCCUUGAUACUGAUGGGCUUGAAUGGACUAGAGGUAGGCGGAAUGAGACAAGUAGCGGUGAAAUGCAUAGAUAUGUCUCAGAACACCGAUUGCGAAGGCAGCUUACUAUGGUCUUAUUGACGCUGAGGCACGAAAGCGUGGGGAUCAAACAGG